AGUCAACAUGCCCAGGGGACGUGGAUAACCUCGGGAAACUGAGGAUAAACCGCGAUAGGCCAAGGUUUCUGGAAUGGACAAUGGCUGAAACCUAUAUGGCCCCUGGAUUGGACUGCGGCCGAUCAGGCUGUUGGUGAGGUAAUGGCCCACCAAACCUGUAACCGGUACGGGCUCUGAGAGGAGGAGCCCGGAGAUGGGCACUGAGACAAGGGCCCAGGCCCUAUGGGGCGCAGCAGGCGCGAAACCUCUGCAAUAGGCGAAAGCUUGACAGGGUUACUCUGAGUGAUGUCCGCUAAGGGCAUCUUUUGGCACUUCUAAAAAUAGUGUAGAAUAAGGGGUGGGCAAGUCUGGUGUCAGCCGCCGCGGUAAUACCAGCACCCCGAGUGGUCGGGACGAUUAUUGGGCCUAAAGCAUCCGUAGCCGGUUCUGCAAGUCUUCCGUUAAAUCCACCUGCUCAACAGAUGGGCUGCGGAGGAUACUACAGGGCUAGGAGGCGGGAGAGGCAAGCGGUACUCAGUGGGUAGGGGUAAAAUCCUCUGAUCCACUGAAGACCACCAGUGGCGAAGGCGGCUUGCCAGAACGCGCUCGACGGUGAGGGAUGAAAGCUGGGGGAGCAAACCGGAUUAGAUACCCGGGUAGUCCCAGCUGUAAACGAUGCAGACUCGGUGAUGGGGUUGGCUUCGAGCCAACCCAGUGCCGCAGGGAAGCCGUUAAGUCUGCCGCCUGGGGAGUACGGUCGCAAGACUGAAACUUAA
RNAcentral lists this ribosomal RNA (755 nucleotides) under uncultured archaeon. Its description in RNAcentral is "bacterial SSU rRNA". It matches the Rfam family "Archaeal small subunit ribosomal RNA", at positions 102 to 859 of the family's 1478-position model. The record is from RNAcentral.